RNAcentral lists this ribosomal RNA (266 nucleotides) under Escherichia coli. Its description in RNAcentral is "partial 16S ribosomal RNA". It matches the Rfam family "Bacterial small subunit ribosomal RNA", at positions 1 to 263 of the family's 1533-position model. Lineage: Bacteria; Pseudomonadati; Pseudomonadota; Gammaproteobacteria; Enterobacterales; Enterobacteriaceae. The record is from RNAcentral. RNAcentral also lists the same sequence under 2 other names.
AAAUUGAAGAGUUUGAUCAUGGCUCAGAUUGAACGCUGGCGGCAGGCCUAACACAUGCAAGUCGAACGGUAACAGGAAGCAGCUUGCUGCUUCGCUGACGAGUGGCGGACGGGUGAGUAAUGUCUGGGAAACUGCCUGAUGGAGGGGGAUAACUACUGGAAACGGUAGCUAAUACCGCAUAACGUCGCAAGACCAAAGAGGGGGACCUUCGGGCCUCUUGCCAUCGGAUGUGCCCAGAUGGGAUUAGCUUGUUGGUGGGGUAACGG